GAUGAACGCUGGCGGCGUGCCUAAUACAUGCAAGUCGAGCGAACAGAUAAGGAGCUUGCUCCUUUGACGUUAGCGGCGGACGGGUGAGUAACACGUGGGUAACCUACCUAUAAGACUGGAAUAACUCCGGGAAACCGGGGCUAAUGCCGGAUAACAUUUAGAACCGCAUGGUUCUAAAGUAAAAGAUGGUUUUGCUAUCACUUAUAGAUGGACCCGCGCCGUAUUAGCUAGUUGGUAAGGUAACGGCUUACCAAGGCAACGAUACGUAGCCGACCUGAGAGGGUGAUCGGCCACACUGGAACUGAGACACGGUCCAGACUCCUACGGGAGGCAGCAGUAGGGAAUCUUCCGCAAUGGGCGAAAGCCUGACGGAGCAACGCCGCGUGAGUGAUGAAGGUCUUCGGAUCGUAAAACUCUGUUAUUAGGGAAGAACAAAUGUGUAAGUAACUGUGCACGUCUUGACGGUACCUAAUCAGAAAGCCACGGCUAACUACGUGCCAGCAGCCGCGGUAA
RNAcentral lists this ribosomal RNA (513 nucleotides) under uncultured bacterium. RNAcentral describes it as "bacterial SSU rRNA". It matches the Rfam family "Bacterial small subunit ribosomal RNA", at positions 28 to 523 of the family's 1533-position model. The record is from RNAcentral.